RNAcentral lists this ribosomal RNA (482 nucleotides) under uncultured bacterium. RNAcentral's name for it is "bacterial SSU rRNA". It matches the Rfam family "Bacterial small subunit ribosomal RNA", at positions 30 to 506 of the family's 1533-position model. The record is from RNAcentral.
UUGAACGCUGGCGGCAUGCCUUACACAUGCAAGUCGAACGGUAACAGGGAGCUUGCUCCGCUGACGAGUGGCGAACGGGUGAGUAAUGUAUCGGAACGUACCUUUCAGUGGGGGAUAACGUAGCGAAAGUUACGCUAAUACCGCAUAUUCUGUGAGCAGGAAAGCAGGGGACCUUCGGGCCUUGCGCUGAUUGAGCGGCUGAUAUCAGAUUAGCUAGUUGGUGAGGUAAAGGCUCACCAAGGCGACGAUCUGUAGCGGGUCUGAGAGGAUGAUCCGCCACACUGGAACUGAGACACGGUCCAGACUCCUACGGGAGGCAGCAGUGGGGAAUUUUGGACAAUGGGGGCAACCCUGAUCCAGCCAUGCCGCGUGAGUGAAGAAGGCCUUCGGGUUGUAAAGCUCUUUCGGCCGGGAAAAAAUCGCAUGGGCUAAUACCCUGUGUGGAUGAUGGUACCGGAAUAAGAAGCACCGGCUAACUACGU